UGACAAUUCUGUGUUUUUUUCUCAUCAUCACUUCCUAACUUGCCUUUCACCAUUUCUUCUCUCUCAUUCCUUGAUUCUUUUUGCUGGUGUGGACUGAUCCCUCAAUGUGGAAUGGGCUUUUCUGGCUGAUGUCUGCAUCUUCCCUUGACCAUUAGGCCACAGGAUGAGAGUCCCCAUGUCCCCUCCUUCUUGCUCAGCUACUCUUGCUGAAAGCCCAAAGACUUCAAGCUGGACAUCUGCUCUCUUUCUAGGUAAAACCACAUUGCCCUUCGAAGUACUUCUGGAAGUCCUCCCUUGUGAGGGUCUUCAUGAGGCAUGAUCAAUAGCACAGUGAAUGUUGCUGUGUGCCAUCUGGUGGAAAAGCAGAUGGAGGAAGGAGAGAUGAGGGAAGGAAAGUGGAUGAAAAAAGGAAUUAAGAUGGGUUGAGUACAUGAACCAACUUCACAUGAGGAAUGUAAGCAUUAUGUAUUGCAAACAUGGACUAAUAAAAAAAAGAGCUAGUAAAACUUGAUGGAUUACUUUAAUAAAAAUAGGUGAAGUAAAAAAGUAAUGAUUAUUUUAUAGUAUCAAUGUUAAUAACAUGUUUUCAACUCUCUAAGAAUAAUUAAUCAUCAUUAAUUAUAAUUUGUCAUUCUAAAUAUUAAUAAUGAUAAAAAUUUAUUAUAUUUUAAUGUAUUAUUUAUUGCCAAGAUGUUGUGAUUGAACUCCAAGAAAAGGAAAUAUAAACUAAACUUCUGCCACUCAGAACAACAACAAUAACAACAAUAACAAUAAUAAUGAUGAUGAUACUUUUGGGAAGGC
This 801-nucleotide long non-coding RNA is filed under the name Heterocephalus glaber (naked mole-rat). Its description in RNAcentral is "lncRNA (ENSHGLG00100036409.1)". Lineage: Eukaryota; Metazoa; Chordata; Mammalia; Rodentia; Bathyergidae. The record is from RNAcentral.